This 253-nucleotide ribosomal RNA is filed under the name uncultured bacterium. Its description in RNAcentral is "partial 16S ribosomal RNA". It matches the Rfam family "Bacterial small subunit ribosomal RNA", at positions 524 to 776 of the family's 1533-position model. The record is from RNAcentral.
UACAGAGACUGCAAGCGUUAUUCGGAUUCAUUGGGCGUAAAGGGUGUGUAGGUGGCGCCGUAAGUCGGGUGUGAAAUUUCGGAGCUUAACUCCGAAACUGCAUUCGAUACUGCGGUGCUUGAGGACUGGAGAGGAGACUGGAAUUCAUGGUGUAGCAGUGAAAUGCGUAGAGAUCAUGAGGAAGGCCAGUGGCGAAGGCGGGUCUCUGGACAGUUCCUGACACUGAGGCACGAAGGCCAGGGGAGCAAACGGG